RNAcentral lists this long non-coding RNA (945 nucleotides) under Gossypium barbadense (sea-island cotton). RNAcentral's name for it is "long non-coding RNA (GBAR_LNC009407)". Lineage: Eukaryota; Viridiplantae; Streptophyta; Magnoliopsida; Malvales; Malvaceae. The record is from RNAcentral.
AAGCUAAUUUAAAAAAAAAAACUUAAAAUCCUCUGUAGGGGGAGAAGAAAAGAACCUUCCGAGCUCCGGCCUCCGGCCUUCGUCGCCCACGCGCCAUACACGCCACCGCACACGGCGGUUGGAAGGAGAAAAGCCCCCAUUUUUCCAGGCGAAUCACAGGUAACCUCUUUUCUCUUCUAAAUACUGGUGGUUUUUUUAAAAAAACAAUUCAUACGCGUCGAACAACAGGAAAUAAACCAUAAGGAAAGAAAAAUGUAACUAAAUCACCUUUUCCACAAUGAAAUUGUUUGUAUUUCUCCCUUUUUUGUAUAUAUGCGUGUAUCUGUUUUUAUAUAUGUGAAAAAAAAAAUGUCCUCCUUUACAGUGAAAUACAUUUGGCUUUUAUAGCCCCUAUACAAAUUUGGUGUAUUCUUCUAUUCGAUUCCUUGCCAUAAUUGCUGCGUAUCUCUUUCCUUUUUUUACAGGUGACGACGAGAAGACCAGCGAUGAUCGGGCGCUGAUGAUGGCACACUGGCGUGCCGAUUGCGGCGUGAGACGAGGGGUCGCUGACUACGGCGUGACGAUUGGGAUCAUGCUUGCGGCGCGAGUGUUUUUGGAAACCUUAGGGUUUCCUGAUUCGGUUUAAGAAUUGGGCCUUCAUGGGCUUUAUUGAUUUGGGUCUAGUUCGGGUAUUUGGGCUAAGGGUUUUAGGUGUAAUGAGAUUCAAUAUAUGGGCUACUGAUGUGAUUUGUAAAUGGGCCAUAAGUAGUGCUCCAGUUGGGCUAUGUAUAUAGGCUAUCAAUUUGGACUGUAAAAAAGACUUUUAUUAUUUUUUGUUUUAUUUUUUACGGGCUGGGCAAAUUUGAGUUAUUACACUUAUUUAAAUUAAAUCAAUCCUAUAUAUAUAGAAGUCUAAAUAACUUUUUUUAAUGUAACACAUUUUUGUAACUAUUUAAACAAAAUGUU